AUGUGCUCGGCCAACAACUUCGUUGAACUGGUGGUACACCCGAUGCAACUUGCCCUGCACUCCCUGGACACAUUGCUUCUUCUACAUCUACCUGAUGUUGUCCCUUCUCUUCUUCUCUAUCAGGGCAGCAUCAACCCCCUUUUCCCUGUCGGUGAGGAACUCCAGCAGAGGAUGGACUGUGUUUUGGAGCUCCUCGAUCUGGCCUCCCCCGCUCAGUUGCCGCUCCAUGCUCCGGAUCUGGCCACAGUAGGCCUCGCCCCCGACGACCAACAGGCUCAGAUCCAUCCCUUCCCUCCUCCUGUCCUCCACAUGCGUAGGGGCUGUGGCGCCAGAUCAAGGGAGCCUGCCAAUGGAGGUCACCGCAUCUCCGUCUCGUUCCGUCCGCCGCCGGAUCCACCACGUUGUGCCAUGGAUGGGCGCCUUGCAGCUCCUCCUCCCGUCACCUAA
This 447-nucleotide ribosomal RNA is filed under the name Triticum aestivum (bread wheat). RNAcentral describes it as "partial small subunit ribosomal RNA". Lineage: Eukaryota; Viridiplantae; Streptophyta; Magnoliopsida; Poales; Poaceae. The record is from RNAcentral.